CCUACGGGAGGCAGCAGUGAGGAAUAUUGGUCAAUGGGCGGAAGCCUGAACCAGCCAAGUAGCGUGCAGGAUGACGGCCCUACGGGUUGUAAACUGCUUUUAUACGGGAAUAACGCGCCUUACGUGUAGGGCUUUGCAUGUACCGUAUGAAUAAGGACCGGCUAAUUCCGUGCCAGCAGCCGCGGUAAUACGGAGGGUCCGGGCGUUAUCCGGAUUUAUUGGGUUUAAAGGGCGCGUAGGCGGCAUGUCAAGCGUGCUGUGAAAUGUCCGGGCUCAACCCGGGCAUUGCAGCGCGAACUGGGGUGCUUGAGUCCGCGGAAGGCAGGCGGAAUUCGUGGUGUAGCGGUGAAAUGCUUAGAUAUGACGAAGAACACCGAUUGCGAAGGCAGCUUGCUGCAGCGGAACUGACGCUGAUGCUCGAAAGCGCGGGUAUCGAACAGGAUUAGAUACCCCAGUAGUC
This 460-nucleotide ribosomal RNA is filed under the name uncultured bacterium. RNAcentral describes it as "partial 16S ribosomal RNA". It matches the Rfam family "Bacterial small subunit ribosomal RNA", at positions 338 to 795 of the family's 1533-position model. The record is from RNAcentral.